AUUGAACGCUGGCGGCAUGCCUUACACAUGCAAGUCGAACGGUAACGGGCCUUCGGGUGCCGACGAGUGGCGAACGGGUGAGUAAUACAUCGGAACGUGCCCGAUCGUGGGGGAUAACGAGGCGAAAGCUUUGCUAAUACCGCAUACGAUCUACGGAUGAAAGCAGGGGACCGCAAGGCCUUGCGCGGACGGAGCGGCCGAUGGCAGAUCAGGUAGUUGGUGGGAUAAAAGCUUACCAAGCCGACGAUCUGGAGCUGGUCUGAGAGGAUGAUCAGGCACACUGGGACUGAGACACGGCCCAGACUCGUACGGGAGGCAGCAGUGGGGAAUUUUGGACAAUGGGCGCAAGCCUGAUUCAGCCAGGCCGCGUGCAGGAUGAAGGCCUUCGGGUUGUAAACUGCUUUUGUACGGAACGAAAAGCCUUCUUCUAAUACAGGAGGGUCAUGACGGUACCGUAAGAAUAAGCACCGGCUAACUACGUGCCAGCCGCCGCCGUAA
RNAcentral lists this ribosomal RNA (498 nucleotides) under uncultured bacterium. RNAcentral describes it as "partial 16S ribosomal RNA". It matches the Rfam family "Bacterial small subunit ribosomal RNA", at positions 30 to 523 of the family's 1533-position model. The record is from RNAcentral.